This 246-nucleotide ribosomal RNA is filed under the name uncultured Gardnerella sp. RNAcentral's name for it is "partial 16S ribosomal RNA". It matches the Rfam family "Bacterial small subunit ribosomal RNA", at positions 109 to 355 of the family's 1533-position model. Lineage: Bacteria; Bacillati; Actinomycetota; Actinomycetes; Bifidobacteriales; Bifidobacteriaceae. The record is from RNAcentral.
AGUAAUGCGUGACCAGCCUGCCCCAUGCUCCAGAAUAGCUCUUGGAAACGGGUGGUAAUGCUGGAUGCUCCAACUUGACGCAUGUCUUGUUGGGAAAGUGUUUAGUGGCAUGGGAUGGGGUCGCGUCCUAUCAGCUUGUAGGCGGGGUAAUGGCCCACCUAGGCUUCGACGGGUAGCCGGCCUGAGAGGGCGGACGGCCACAUUGGGACUGAGAUACGGCCCAGACUCCUACGGGAGGCAGCAGCU